GACGAACGCUGGCGGCGUGCUUAACACAUGCAAGUCGAACGUGAUUUUUGUGGAAAUUCUUUCGGGAAUGGAAAUGAAAUGAAAGUGGCGAACGGGUGAGUAACCGUGAGCAACCUACCUUACACAGGGGGAUAGCCGUUGGAAACGACGAUUAAUACCGCAUGAGACCACAGAAUCGCAUGAUAUAGGGGUCAAAGAUUUAUCGGUGUAAGAAGGGCUCGCGUCUGAUUAGCUAGUUGGAAGGGUAAAGGCCUACCAAGGCGACGAUCAGUAGCCGGUCUGAGAGGAUGAACGGCCACAUUGGAACUGAGACACGGUCCAAACUCCUACGGGAGGCAGCAGUGGGGAAUAUUGCACAAUGGGGUGAACCCUGAUGCAGCGACGCCGCGUGAGCGAAGAAGGUUUUCGAAUCGUAAAGCUCUGUCCUAUGAGAAGAUAAUGACU
This 444-nucleotide ribosomal RNA is filed under the name Parvimonas micra. RNAcentral's name for it is "bacterial SSU rRNA". It matches the Rfam family "Bacterial small subunit ribosomal RNA", at positions 28 to 456 of the family's 1533-position model. The record is from RNAcentral. Lineage: Bacteria; Bacillati; Bacillota; Tissierellia; Tissierellales; Peptoniphilaceae.